ACCACAGUUACAAACAGCCUCCAGAGAUCCUGUUCUACACCAGACCAGUGGAGCCAGACUGCAGCCAGAGCCCAUCUUUCUUCUGCCUAGGGCAGCAAAAAUCCUUGCACCGGCCCUGGUCCAGUGUCACCCGAAAGCCCAUAGGAAAGCAUUGUAUAAUGCUGUCCUAUGGGGGAAUCCGGAAUUCGAGCAUAGCCAUUGCCACAUUAGGUCUCCC
Molecule: non-coding RNA, 217 nt
Organism: Pelobates cultripes (western spadefoot toad)
Lineage: Eukaryota; Metazoa; Chordata; Amphibia; Anura; Pelobatidae
Source: the annotation of a GenBank genome assembly